CAUGCAACGGUCGCUGACCAACCAUCGCCGUAGUGUGUAGUCUCGCGCUCCAAUGAGCUUUCGGUUCGACCCCCUCCUGUCUCUGAUAGCUUCGGGGAGUACGAGAGAGAGAGAGAGAGCGGGGGGGGGGGAGGUUGGGUAAGAGUACAAAGAACCUCUUCGAUGUUAGAGCUCCCCCCCUCCCCUUGCUUACUCCUCCUCCUUGCCCCUGUUGGAGCUCUUCCCCGCCCCUAGGAAUGGGGGGUCGGUGGUGGGUGAGCGAGAUCUGAAGGGUCAGGAUUUCUUCAUUCCCGCCUGUCAGCCUAAGCGACCUUACAAAACAAACAAACAAAAACCAGCACCAGUACCAGCACCGCCUGAAAACAUGGAAUACGUUUCGAUGAAAUAAAAUCACCCUCGCUUUCCUGGCGUGACACUAAGCUAAGCCUCCAUCUCUCUCUCCCCCCCCCGCCCUUGACACCGCGUGGGGUGGGGGAGUUGGGGUGCGGGGAGCGCCUGUGAGGAAAUGGAAGGAUCCUCCGGCUGCUCCGCGGAGGAGGAAGGGGAGCUGACCCUUCUCACCGUCAAGCAUGAGCUGAAGAAUGCAAACUUGACAGGUCAUGUAGAGAAAGUGGGCAUUGAGAACUUUGAACUCUUGAAAGUUCUUGGAACAGGAGCCUAUGGGAAGGUAUUUCUGGUGAGGAAAAUAAGUGGCCAUGAUGCUGGCAAGUUGUAUGCCAUGAAAGUAUUGAAAAAAGCAACGAUAAUUCAAAAAGCCAAAACGACCGAACAUACAAAGACUGAACGGCAAGUACUGGAACACAUUAGACAAUCUCCAUUUUUGGUCACUUUGCAUUAUGCUUUUCAGACAGAUACAAAGCUUCAUCUCAUUUUGGAUUAUAUAAAUGGAGGAGAACUUUUUACCCAUCUUUCACAAAGAGAGAGAUUUACUGAAGAUGAGGUACGGAUAUAUAUUGGAGAGAUUGUAUUGGCACUUGAACAUCUACACAAGUUGGGAAUUAUCUAUCGAGACAUAAAGCUUGAGAAUAUUCUCCUUGAUUCUGAUGGCCAUGUGGUGCUGACUGACUUUGGCUUGAGUAAGGAGUUUGUUAGUGAUGAAAAUGAGAGGGCAUAUUCCUUCUGUGGAACUAUAGAAUACAUGGCUCCAGAUAUUGUCAAAGGAGGGGAGAAAGGGCAUGACAAAGCUGUUGAUUGGUGGAGUCUAGGCGUUCUUAUGUAUGAAUUAUUAACUGGAGCAUCACCUUUUACAGUUGAUGGAGAAAGAAAUUCACAAACUGAGAUAUCUAGGAGAAUAUUAAAAAGUGAACCUCCUUAUCCUCAAGAAAUGUCUGCUCUAGCUAAAGAUAUUAUUCAGUGCCUUUUGAUGAAAGAUCCCAAUAAAAGACUGGGCUGUGGUCCAAGUGGUGCUGAUGAAAUCAAACAACAGCCUUUCUUCCAGAAAAUAAACUGGAAAGACUUGGCUGCCAAAAAAGUGCCAGCACCAUUUAAACCAGUAAUUCGUGAUGAAUUGGAUGUUGGUAACUUUGCAGAGGAGUUCACAGACAUGGACCCAACGUAUUCUCCAGCAACUACUCCACAGGCUGCAGAUAAGCUUUUCCAGGGAUAUUCUUUUGUUGCUCCUUCUAUAUUAUUCAAACGUAAUGCAGCUACCAUGGAUCCUGUUCAGUUUCUGACAGAAAUUGAUCGACCUGGAGUCACAAGUAUUGCCAGAAGUGUUAUGAUGAAGGACUCUCCCUUCUAUCAUCACUAUGAACUGGAUCUGAAAGAAAAACCCCUAGGAGAAGGAAGCUUUUCUAUCUGUCGAAAGUGUUUACACAAAAAAACUAACCAAGAAUACGCAGUAAAAAUAAUUAGUAAAAGACUAGAAGCCAAUACUCAGAGAGAAAUAACUGCUUUAAAACUCUGUGAAGAACAUCCUAAUGUUGUGAAGCUGCAUGAAAUUUAUCACGACCAGCUCCACACAUUUCUAGUAAUGGAACUGCUGAAAGGAGGAGAAUUACUUGAACGCAUCCAGAAAAAGAAAUAUUUCAGUGAAACAGAAGCCAGUUAUAUCAUGCGCAGGCUUGUUUCAGCAGUAAGCCACAUGCAUGAUGUAGGAGUAGUCCACAGAGAUCUAAAACCUGAGAAUUUGUUAUUCACAGAUGAAAGUGAUAAUUCAGAAAUAAAAAUAAUUGAUUUUGGAUUUGCCCGGUUAAAACCACCUGACAAUCAGCCUCUUAAGACUCCAUGUUUUACCCUUCAUUAUGCUGCUCCAGAGCUUUUAAAUCAUAAUGGUUAUGAUGAAUCAUGUGAUCUCUGGAGUUUGGGAGUUAUUUUGUAUACGAUGCUCUCGGGACAAGUACCUUUCCAGUCCCAAGAUAAGAUAAUAUACACAAAUGCAUUAGAAAUUAUGAAGAAAAUUAAAAGAGGGGAAUUUUCCUUUGAAGGAGAUGCUUGGAAGAAUGUGUCUCAAGAAGCCAAAGAUUUGAUACAAGGACUUCUUACAGUGGAUCCAAAUAAGAGAAUUAAAAUGACCAGUUUGAGAUACAAUGAGUGGCUUCAAGAUGGUAGCCAACUGUCAUCCAACCCAUUAAUGACGCCAGACAAUUUAGGAUCUUCAGGAGCUGCUGUACAUACUUAUGUCAAAGCAACUUUUAAUGCAUUUAACAAGUACAAGAGGGAAGGAUUUUGCCUCCAGAAUGUUGACAAGGCACCUCUUGCAAAAAGAAGGAAGAUGAAAAAGACGAGCACAAGCACAGAGACACGCAGCAGUUCCAGUGAAAGUUCUCACUCUUCCUCUUCUCAUUCACAUGGUAAAACUACCCCUACAACGACACUGCAGACAACAAACCCUACAGACAGCAAUAAUCCAGAGAGCAUCUUCCAGUUUUCUGAAUGAAAAAUACAGAGACUGCCUCUGUUGAAGAAUGCAGUUGUUAGAAACUUGUUGACAUAUGCACUCCUUUGAACACAGUGAUGUUUGUUACUUGUUGACAACUUCCAUAUCAGGCACACAUUUUUACAAACUUCUGUUUUUAAUAUUCUGUUUCAAUCCUAGUGUACUGUAGUACAUCCUAAAAUACUGAUGUGACUAUAUCUAGAAUUGAAGAUCAGAAACCAAUUUGUAUGUUGCUUGUAAGUAGCUUCAAAUCCUUUAUUUUAAGCUAUUGAUAACAUAAAGGCUAUGGUCCAGUGAGGUAACCCUGGACAUGUAACAGAGGUUCCCCAUUGCCAACUAAGGCAAUGGAGAGAACCCCAUAUAACACAUUUUACCAGCAAUGGCAGCCCCGGGUGCAUGCAUGCCUCUUAUUUAUGGCUGAUUUUCUUUGGCAAUUCCUAUACAAUAGAAGGGUGACAAGAUGAGGGUGAUCUGUAUUGAAACAUAUUCACCAGGAUCAAAAUAUGUGCUAUUUUCCUUCGGCAAGAAGCUUGCAAGUGAAAAUCAAGCCACAUCCAAAGAUCCGCAUGUGGAAUGAAUGCAUAAGACAUAUGCAACCAUUUAGCUAGUGCAAGGGCUUGGUCACUGGUAUGCACAAUUUACAGGAUUUCUUUCUAUCAGAGUUUGGUCAUUUGGGCUUCUCUGGUUUGAGAGACUAAUUGGGUUUUUAAUAGCUCCAUAAAAUACUGAGGUAUCUGUCAAAGGAGCGUGCUGUUUUCUGAAGCAUUGCUACAUAAAUUUCUAAAGGUUUUCUGAACAACAACAGCAAAAUCUUACAUACUCAUGCCUAAUUUUUAAAUAUAAAAAUUAGUUUCUUCUAAGUGAGAAUUCGAUAUUUUAUCAUGUGGGUCCAAAAUUUAAGUAUGCUGUGAUACAUACUAUAUUUGACAGUUUGCUGUCCAGCUGUAGCAAAGUAUUCAGAAGUUUUUACGUUACAUAAAGCAUCUGCAUGAUUUGGUACACCUAUAUCAUCACUUUUGAUGAGUAAUUAAGCAAUGCAAUGAGUGCUUGAGAUGCAAUAUGACCUGCUCUGUUAGAUUCACUGGAAUUUGAGCUUAUAGCACCAUUCCGCCUUGCAAUAUUAAGCUUUUGUUUUCUUGCUAUUUCCAUUCCUAUAGGCAAUACUCUUCGGAUUUUGCCCUCUAUCACUUCAGGGCACGUUUAACUUUAAAACAUUUAUGCACUGGUAAAACUAAAGGGAUAUUCUAUCAAGCACUGUGCUUCACAUCUAUACACUGUGUUCUACUACAGUGAGACUUCCUGCUGUAGUUGUAAUCUAUUUGGAAUAAUGUGACUGAUGCAUUUUAAAUAGUAACAAAAUUGUGAAGCAUAAUGUGUCAAUGUAUGCAGAGCACUUUUACAGUGCAUGUGCUCCAGUUUUGCAAGAAGUCAUUAAAUAGUCGACAGUGGGGUGAUUUGUGCAAAGUUAAAUUAAUGCAUAGAUGUUUGCAUGAAUCCACCCAGUAGAUUUCACAACACUUUGCUGCACUGUAGAAUAAACUAAAUCCAAAGCCUAUGCAAAAAUAUACAAACUGUUCUAUAAAUGGCUUGUUUACAUAGUUGAAUCUGUUAUCAGUGUUUGAGAAGUCAAAUGCAGACCUUCUAUACUAGAUGCUGAAGGAACAAAAUCCUUGAAACUUGGCAUGUUUUUCUGUGUUGCUAAAAUAUAAUUGAUAGUAUUUUCAACAGGAAAGUGAUAGCAAUGGAUUCAAGAUAGGUCUUUUUUUUUUUUUUUUUUUUUGGAGGGGAGGGGGGCUUGUUAAAAUCCAUGCAAUCUUGCUUUUAUUUAGAGACAAAAAUAUAAUUCUAGACCUCAUAGUUGCAGAAGUUGAUCUUGCAAAUGUACUGGCAGAAACUAGAAGGCUUGUAAUCAGAUACCAGAUGUGGUGAGAUCCUAUAUGUGUUUGCCCAGAAGUAAGCCCUGCUCGGUUCAAUGAGGCUCAUUACCUAGCAAGUGUGCAUAGGAUCACUGCCUUAGUUGCUUUGAUCCCUGGGGUUGCUAAAGUAACAAUAACUUCAGAUCCUAAUAUGUUCUUUUUCCACAUUUGGAGUAGUUAAUUUCAAGAUACAUAUAGCAAACUGUUAACACAGCCUGUCCACCCAAUGUGCCUUUGGUUCCACACUGUGUUUAGGAACUUAACAUUAUCUCUGCAGUCUGUGAGUAUGUGAAGAUGUGGACAGGAUAAAUCUUUGGUUAUUUACUUCUAAAAUGGGCUGAUCAUGUUUUCAUUGUGGUCCUGGUGCUGAACAAGUUGCCCACCUUUUGAGUCUGAAGGUUUCACAAUUAGUGAUGCAAAUCCCUUAAUUUACUACUUUGUAAUGAGUGGUAGAUUUUUAUAUUUUAUAAUCCUAUGCUAUAACAGCACAGAUAACUUUAAUGUAGUUUAUAGUAUGAUACAAAACUUGCCAGCAUUCAGUUCAGAUUCGCUUUCUGAAUCUUUCUUUGCUAAUAUGAUCUAUAUAAUGAAACAUUCUCCCACUAAUAAAUAAAUUGUCAUGGUUAUGCCUCUCAGCAUCAAUGAGUUGAGAUGCAAACCUUUUAGUAUUUCGUAAAUUAGAUAUCUUGCUAUACUUUUUCCAUGUUGCAUCUCAUUCUGAAGUCUAAACAGAGUUAUCUUAUUUUUACAUAAAAUGUCUGGAUCAGUACGUUAAACUACAAUGCAGUAUACUCUGCUUUAAAUUUAUAUGUAGUUUAAACUAAUUCUGUUCAAAUAUCUAGCCCUUUUAAGGGAAAUCCAAAUAAAUGGCUUUUUAUAUUAGAAUAGCUUCAUUAAUAUUUGGUAGAAUUUCAUAAAAUGCACAUAGUAAAGUAAUGAUUUGUUAAGAUUUCUCAGGAAAAGAGUUUGUUUCUAUUUCCUUCUCUUGCACAGGCAGCUAUCAUGAAAACUCACAGAGUUAUUUUUAUACUACUGGGAAGCAGAUUUUUUUUGCAAGUCCUGAAUGAGUUGUAUCAACUUCAGAAGGAAAGUUGAGACUUCAGUUGUGUCAAAAAAAAAGUAUAGUAUCUUAAGUCUUGGGGUUUGCUGAAAUGUUUUGUGUGUGGAUUUAAAUUUUAAAAGCAGUAAGGGCUUACAUUUUCAAAAUCAUGUAUAUGUUCAAUUAUAUUUGUUCUAUCCUCAAAAAAUAAAACUUGUCUAUGUACGAAA
This is an RNA transcript of Hemicordylus capensis (graceful crag lizard), 6063 nucleotides long. It is a transcript of the gene named ribosomal protein S6 kinase A5, with no coding region annotated. The transcript has 18 exons. The record is from RefSeq and is a predicted model, not a curated record. NCBI's taxonomy places the organism in Eukaryota, Metazoa, Chordata, Lepidosauria, Squamata, Cordylidae.